GACGAACGCUGGCGGCGUGCUUAACACAUGCAAGUCGAACGGAAAGGCCCUGCUUUUGUGGGGUGCUCGAGUGGCGAACGGGUGAGUAACACGUGAGUAACCUGCCCUUGACUUUGGGAUAACUUCAGGAAACUGGGGCUAAUACCGGAUAGGAGCUCCUGCUGCAUGGUGGGGGUUGGAAAGCCUCGGCGGUUGGGGAUGGACUCGCGGCUUAUCAGCUUGUUGGUGGGGUAGUGGCUUACCAAGGCUUUGACGGGUAGCCGGCCUGAGAGGGUGACCGGCCACAUUGGGACUGAGAUACGGCCCAGACUCCUACGGGAGGCAGCAGUGGGGAAUAUUGCACAAUGGGCGGAAGCCUGAUGCAGCAACGCCGCGUGCGGGAUGACGGCCUUCGGGUUGUAAACCGCUUUCGCCUGUGACGAAGCGUGAGUGACGGUAAUGGGUAAAGAAGCACCGGCUAACUACGUG
RNAcentral lists this ribosomal RNA (468 nucleotides) under uncultured bacterium. RNAcentral describes it as "partial 16S ribosomal RNA". It matches the Rfam family "Bacterial small subunit ribosomal RNA", at positions 28 to 507 of the family's 1533-position model. The record is from RNAcentral.